This 2159-nucleotide long non-coding RNA is filed under the name Triticum aestivum (bread wheat). Its description in RNAcentral is "long non-coding RNA (TAES_LNC028112)". The record is from RNAcentral. Lineage: Eukaryota; Viridiplantae; Streptophyta; Magnoliopsida; Poales; Poaceae.
AAGAUGGUGAAGCCAAAGAUGAGCAACUGAGAUUGGGGAACAACGACCGGCGAGCAGAAGCCCAUAGUGAUGGCCGGCUCCAUUCGACCAUGACACGAGCAACGCCGGAGCUCCGGCCUGGCUGCUCCUUCCCCAUGCCCGUCCUACUCAUCCUCCCGUGCUUCUCCACACCAAGCAUGAAGACCACACCAGCCAGGCUCUCUUAUGCGACGACCUGCGCCCGAUCCAGAAUCACAAUAUGUGGCGGCGCCGGAUCGAGAACGCGGGGAGACGCUGUCCUGUGGGGAAGAGAAAGAGGGUAACAUGGUAUAAAAUAAAGUAGUCAUUUUUCAUGUAAUGAAACUUUAGUUUUGGGGAAGAUGAUAAAAAAUAAAAAUAUAACUAAUGCAACAGGAGAACCACAUAUGGAGGCACUCAAGUGGACAGACACAGCAGUUCAAACAAACCCAAAAAUAUCUCAUUGUUCACCUUAAACCUUCAGAGGUUUAAACUGCUAGUUGAACUGAAAGGCACCGUUGCUAGGUGACAAAAAAUCAGUACGCUCUACAGUAAUUUGAUAUGAUAAAAAGCAGUUGGAUAAAGACCAGAUAAUGUUAUUAGCUAGCAAAGUUAGGGCUGCCAUAAAAAUCUGAACAGUUCCAUAAGUUGUCUCUUGAUAUUAUAUGAUUCAUAAAGGAACAUGGCACAUGAUUGUGCAAAAAUGACCUAUUGAUUCAGUGCCACACUACAGGAAAGGGGAUAUCAGUAGUCAUUAGAAUACAGACUGAUAGAAAUUAUGCACCUGAUAUUACUUACUACUUCUCUCAUCUAGCUGCAGCUGGUUUAGCAAAGAGAACCCAAUACCCAAAAUCAUGAAAUGGAUGUUCUCUUGGUUAGUAUACAAGACUGCUAAUUAUCUCUGUUGCCUCACCACAGAGCAACCAAGCAAAGGGCCAUGGAGCACCUCACAACAAAAGGAACCUGAAACCUAAAAAUAGAGGAAUGAUUUUUCUUGUAACAUGAACCAUCAAAUUAACUACACUCGCUGCACAGCAUGCGAUCGCCACCAUAGAAACGCUACCCUACUACUUAACUCUCUCCACAAACUACAAAAAAGCAAGAAAAUCAACCCAAACAACAUUGUAGGAAUGAUAUAGACAAGACAAAAGAAUCUCAACUUGUUCGCUCUUUUUUAGUUGAGUAACUCCUUCCAGAGUAAAUGGUCAAGCUGGCCGCAAGAAAGAAACACACAAAAAACCCGAGAAUAGUGCACCAACAAGAAGGAAAAUAAUCUACAUAUGGACAAACUGACAUAGUUUGUGCUUCAGGAACCGAAAGAUUUGGGGAGAGAGAGAAGCAUACCUAAUAGAACUUCACAGGCAUGUCAACCCCUUGUUUAUUCUCCAAUUUCAGCCCUAGCAUUGAAGGAAGCCCAACCCUCUCAUGAACAGACUUUAGAGUGAAGCUCAUUGAUGAUGGCACUGUUAGCAGUCAGAAACUGUAUAAGCGAGGUUAUUCCGCCUUCUUGGCCCUCUUAAAUAGCUUGUACAUACCUGUUUUAGAGUCAAGAGAAAAAAAUGAUAUCAACUAAGCAUAUCUAAAAUCCAUCAUAAUACAUACAAAGAAUGUGUUAUGUCUGAAAUAAAAUGGAACAUGCAAAUUAGAUAGUUAUUUAUAAGUUAAAUACCAUUUUAGGUGUGUUUUCACCAAAGAGAUACAGUGAACAGUCGAGCACGUAAUUAUAAAUUGAUAAUUAUCAGUAAGAUCUUCACACUUCUCGGGGAACAAAUAAAACAGGAAACCAGGUGGUUUACCUUGAUACAAAAGUGACCUUAUUCAAAUUCAUUUUCAGAUGACAAACACUAUAGUGGAAGCACCAACCCCAGCGAAAUACCAUCAAGAAAUGGUGCUACUUAAUCAUAGUAGAAAGGAUAAAAAUGCAUAUAACAAAACAAGGAAUAAUACCUGUCAGGCCUGCUCUUGCAUACCAAAAUAACAUGGCCUCUUGCAAAAUAUAGAGAUCUAGGAACGGCCCAUAACACCAAAAGAUGUAGCAGAGGAAGGUACCAAACUUAUCACAAGCAUCUCCAUUAUGACUGGAAUAUACCCUGGAAAUUAAUACAAGCUAGGUAUAUCACAUAUGCACCAUAAUAAUUUCAAAAGAAGUGCAAAAAUAUGUA